CCCUGUCCCUGUCUCCCCACACCCUGGCCACCCCGAUGCAAGCAGCUGUGCCCCGCACCCCCACGUGCUCCCUGCUACAGUGUCUCCCUCACCUGGACCAACUGGAGCCUGGGGACCUGGGCUGAGAGCACUGAGCCAGCAGAGCAUCUCCUCCUUUAUGGUGACAUCCUUGGGUGCUUGGUCUCGGCGGGCGUCACCACCACACCCUCAGCGGAGCAAGGAAGGGCCAGGGCUCUCUCGGAGCUGUGGGGCAGCUGAGUUCUUCUGUCAAGAAAGUAACGAAAACACAGAACUCCAGAAGGGAGAGAUAAAGUCACGAGCAGUUCCACAACCAGAGGAUGUCAUCCACAUGGAAUCCCACAGCGUGAAGCCUUUGGAAUUGGCCCUGAGAUUCAUCCAAAGUGCAGAGCACAUCCG
This is a long non-coding RNA of Chinchilla lanigera (long-tailed chinchilla), 417 nucleotides long. RefSeq lists it as uncharacterized. The record is from RefSeq and is a predicted model, not a curated record. NCBI's taxonomy places the organism in Eukaryota, Metazoa, Chordata, Mammalia, Rodentia, Chinchillidae. The transcript is spliced from 3 exons.